This 442-nucleotide ribosomal RNA is filed under the name uncultured bacterium. Its description in RNAcentral is "partial 16S ribosomal RNA". It matches the Rfam family "Bacterial small subunit ribosomal RNA", at positions 339 to 795 of the family's 1533-position model. The record is from RNAcentral.
CUACGGGUGGCUGCAGUGGGGAAUAUUGGGCAAUGGGCGCAAGCCUGACCCAGCAACGCCGCGUGAGGGAAGAAUGUCUUCGGAUUGUAAACCUCUGUCCUUGGGGACGAAAAAAAUGACGGUACCCAAGGAGGAAGCUCCGGCUAACUACGUGCCAGCAGCCGCGGUAAUACGUAGGGAGCAAGCGUGGUCCGGAAUUAUUGGGCGUAAAGGGUGCGUAGGCGGCGCUGUAAGUCAGAUGUGAAAUCCCCGGGCUUAACUCGGGAGUUGCAUUUGAAACUACAGUGCUUGAGUAAAGAAGGGGUAAGUGGAAUUCCUAGUGUAGCGGUGGAAUGCGUAGAUAUUAGGAGGAACACCAGUGGCGAAGGCGACUUACUGGUCUUUUACUGACGCUGAGGCACGAAAGCGUGGGGAGCAAACAGGAUUAGAUACCCCUGUAGUC